Molecule: ribosomal RNA, 301 nt
Filed under: uncultured bacterium
Lineage: Bacteria
Description: partial 16S ribosomal RNA
Rfam family: Bacterial small subunit ribosomal RNA
Source: RNAcentral
CAGCCGCCGCGGUAAUACGGAGGGUGCAAGCGUUAAUCGGAAUUACUGGGCGUAAAGCGCACGCAGGCGGUCUGACAAGUCAGAUGUGAAAUCCCCGGGCUUAACCUGGGAACUGCAUUUGAAACUGUCAGGCUGGAGUCUUGUAGAGGGGGGUGGAAUUCCAGGUGUAGCGGUGAAAUGCGUAGAGAUCUGGAGGAAUACCGGUGGCGAAGGCGGCCCCCUGGACAAAGACUGACGCUCAGGUGCGAAAGCGUGGGGAGCAAACAGGAUUAGAUACCCGCGUAGUCCCUGUCUCUUAUCA